This 253-nucleotide ribosomal RNA is filed under the name uncultured bacterium. RNAcentral's name for it is "partial 16S ribosomal RNA". It matches the Rfam family "Bacterial small subunit ribosomal RNA", at positions 524 to 776 of the family's 1533-position model. The record is from RNAcentral.
GACGAACCGGACAAACGUUAUUCGGAAUUACUGGGCUUAAAGGGUUUGUAGGCGGCCUUGUAAGUCAGGUGUGAAAUCCCCAGGCUCAACCUGGGAACUGCGUCCGAUACUGGCAGGCUUGAAUCCGGGAGAGGGAUGUGGAAUUCCAGGUGUAGCGGUGAAAUGCGUAGAUAUCUGGAGGAACACCGGUGGCGAAGGCGGCAUCCUGGACCGGUAUUGACGCUGAGGCGCGAAAGCUAGGGGAGCAAACGGG